AUUGAACGCUGGCGGCAUGCUUUACACAUGCCAGUCGAACGGUAACAGGCCGCAAGGUGCUGACGAGUGGCGAACGGGUGAGUAAUGCAUCGGAACGUGCCCAGUCGUGGGGGAUAACUACUCGAAAGAGUAGCUAAUACCGCAUACGAUCUAUGGAUGAAAGCGGGGGACCGUAAGGCCUCGCGCGAUUGGAGCGGCCGAUGUCAGAUUAGGUAGUUGGUGGGGUAAAGGCUCACCAAGCCAACGAUCUGUAGCUGGUCUGAGAGGACGACCAGCCACACUGGAACUGAGACACGGCCCAGACUCCUACGGGAGGCAGCAGUGGGGAAUUUUGGACAAUGGGCGCAAGCCUGAUCCAGCAAUGCCGCGUGCAGGAAGAAGGCCUUCGGGUUGUAAACUGCUUUUGUACGGAACGAAACGGCUCUGGUUAAUACCCGGGGCUAAUGACGGUACCGUAAGAAUAAGCACCGGCUAACUACGUG
RNAcentral lists this ribosomal RNA (482 nucleotides) under uncultured bacterium. RNAcentral's name for it is "partial 16S ribosomal RNA". It matches the Rfam family "Bacterial small subunit ribosomal RNA", at positions 30 to 507 of the family's 1533-position model. The record is from RNAcentral.